Molecule: long non-coding RNA, 1775 nt
Filed under: Ananas comosus (pineapple)
Lineage: Eukaryota; Viridiplantae; Streptophyta; Magnoliopsida; Poales; Bromeliaceae
Description: long non-coding RNA (ACOM_LNC032036)
Source: RNAcentral
AAUUGAGGCAUCUGUAACUUUUAAUUUUUUAUUUAUUUUUUAUAAGGGUUAAUUGUAUUAUUUAUAAACAUAGCAAAUUACAAAUAUAUCCCUACACAGUUCAACUUUCUUAUAUUAUUACUGCAAAAGUUCUGAUGUUUUUAAAUAUGUCCCUGCUGAAUCUGUUAGAAAAAUUUAGUUAACUAUAGAUAAAAUACUUAGAUUUAGUUUGUUAUUGAGGUCUAUCUAAUGCUAUUAGAUAAAAUGGAGUUGAGAAAAAAGUAUAUAGGGAUAUAUUUCUGCGUUCUCCGAUGGGACUGUAGAAAAUAUAUCGUAACCGAUUCAUCGCGAUAUGCGGAACACAAUAUUACGUACGGAAACAAACAUGGUAUUUUCCAACGUACUUUCUUACCGCACGUAACGUAAUUUCUCGGCAAUCCCAAACGAAGCCUUACUCUUGGUUAGUCAAUUAGGUAAAUUGACAUUUUUAUCAUUCUUAUAUUAUACAUUGUUCCCUCAAUCAAAACUCUAGCAAUGAAAACUCUUUUUCUUGUUCUUCCUCUUUCUCUUUCUUUACUCCUUCAUGUUAGUUUCGAAUACGUAACUAGAAUUUUUCCGCCCCCAUUCAUUCACGACACAUGUUACUUUGCCAAUGCCGAACGCAUGUUUCUUUCCCAUUCAAUUUCUUCUAUGAUUUUUUUUUUAUUUUGCUAAAAAAAAAGGUUUAAGAGAAAAUGAGUGAGAGAAGAGGUUGCAAUAAUAAUGAAUUGGGCUGAGUUUUAAAGAACAAGAAGAUGAGAAAAAAGAUAACCAUUGAAAUUUUUUUGGAAAUAUGUUUCUGCAUGAUUACAGCAGUUAGGACUUUUGGCAGGACAUAUUUAUGAUGGCAAAAUUGACAUUUCACUUAUCUGUUGUUAAAAAAAUAGGGUAAAUUGCAUACAACUUCCUGUAAACAUAGCGAAUUGCAAAUAUAUCCCUAUAAAGUUUAAUUUUCCUAUGUUAUCCCUAUAAAAGUCCAGUAAUAUUCAUAUUUGUCCCUCCAGUUUGUUAUCAUUAGAGGACUAUUUAUUUUUUAAUAGGAGAUAAGUAAAAUGUCAAUUUUACCAUAAAACAUGUCUUUCUAAAACCCCAACUGCUAUAAUCGUGUAGAAAUAUUCUGCCAAAAUAUUUUUAAUGGUCAUCUCCUUCCUCAUCUCUUCUUCUUUAAAACUAACCCAAUCCACCAUUAUUGCAACAUUUUCUCUCAUUUUUUUCUCUUAAACCUUUUUUUUGAACAAAAUAAAAAAAAUUACAAAGAAAAUUGAAUGAGAAAGCAAUAUGCGUUCAAUAUGGGUACAACACGUGUCGUGAAUGAACGGUGACGGAGAAAUUCUAGUUAUAGGUUUAAAACUAGCAUAAAGAAGAGAGAGAAAUAGGCAUAGGAAGAGAAAGAAGAAAAAGAGUUUUCAUUAUUAGAGUUUUGAUUGAGAGAAGAAUGCAUAAUAUAAGAGGGAUAAAAAGAUCAAUUUACUUUAUUAACUAAUCAGGGUUAAGUAUUUUACCUAUGGUUAACUAAAUUUUUCUAACGGAUCCUAACGGUAGAGACAUAUCUAAAAAUAGUAGGACUUUUGCAGAGAUAACAUAAGAAAGUUAAAUUUUAUAGGAAUAUAUACAUUUGCAAUUCGCUAUAUUUACAGGGAGCCGUAUGCAAUUAACCCAAAAAAUAAAUAGUUUGAAUAUUACUGGGUUUUUGCAGAAAUAACAUAAGAAUGUUAAACUUUAUAGGAAUAUAUAUUCAAUUUGCUAUGUUUACAGAG